This 69-nucleotide transfer RNA is filed under the name Manis pentadactyla (Chinese pangolin). Its description in RNAcentral is "tRNA-Asp". It matches the Rfam family "tRNA". From Rfam's summary of the family: Transfer RNA (tRNA) molecules are approximately 80 nucleotides in length. Their secondary structure includes four short double-helical elements and three loops (D, anti-codon, and T loops). The record is from RNAcentral. Lineage: Eukaryota; Metazoa; Chordata; Mammalia; Pholidota; Manidae.
AGAAGUAUUAGUAAAAUUUACAUAACUUUGUCAAAGUUAAAUUAUAGGUUUAAGUCCUUUAUACUUUUA